AGCGUCCCCGCACAGGGCUGCCUCAGAGCGACUUUGAGGACUGACUGAGGUGAGGACGUGACGUCCUCUGUAAGCUGUCGAGUGUUACGCGGUAGCUGUUCUUCGUGCCUUGAGCCCUGGCCACGUCACAUGGUCCCCGACGACGAGCUGGCCAACCACGUGGGGGGUUGUUAACCUGCCCGGAGCCGUUCGUCCCACCGGCUACCCAGGCGGUGACUCCUGAGGGCUCGGUGUGUGGUCUCAGGAGGAACUCGCUUCUGGCGCGCUCAGGCUGGGAGCGGGGAAAGGCCGCCCCCAUCAGGGCCGCGGCAGUGCGGCUGGGCUGUGAAGGGAGCCCCGCUGCAGGCCGAGGGCGGGAGCGGAGAAGUAUCAUGCCAGCCGUGUGAUGAAAAAUUCCUUAGAAGUCACAUCAAAGAAUGCAGAAAGAAAGAGUCUGGUGGAUCUUAUAUUUCUGCAGCACGUUUCAGUUCAGACCUGCUGCAUUUCCAGUGCUUAGUAGGGACCUGUGGCUCCCAGCUACUGCACAGGGGGUCUAUGUGUUCUGCUGCUGAAGGAUGAGCAUUGAGAUCACCAGCUAGAAUUGGAAAAGACUUCUCCUCACUUCUGUGAGUUUUUGUUUCACAUAUUUUGAAGUUCUUCCUCACCAUAAACACGUCCAGAUGUACCUGAACCCAAAUAAACUGCUAUGCUGAGGGGUUGUUCUUAAUAAAGAGGAUGACUCUAAGCUUAGAGAAUGUAGGCAGGAAGCCCACACCAGAGCAUGCUGAGGCCACUGCACUUUGAAACCAUUUCUCGUGGAUGGCCACUUAUCUUUGGGGUCCUUGAGGCUGGGAUUAGAUUUGACAGAGUGGGCAUUUGGGUCUAAAACAGAAGACCAAACCAGAAGUGAGAGGCACUAGGUACCAGGGGGAUCAUUUCUGCCAACACCUCUACAGCACUCUUGGAUCCAGGACAGUCUAGGCUAGGGAACCAAGCCAGGGGACCCCGGCUGUGGGGAAUGUAAUAGACAUUUUUACAAAUGCUUCAGUACUUUCAAGGGUAUAAAGACAUAGCUGGUCUCCUCCACGUGCAUGAUGUAGAUGGGCAGCAGCGGCAUUCAGCUGUGUGCGUCUGCACAGCUCUCCUUUUGCGUGGAGGGUCGAUGUUUCAGAUGGUACUGUGGACUGCUCGUGCCUUUCCCCCAGCUUUUGCGCCUCCUGCACGCACAUUUUGUUUCCAGGACUCUAAGUCUGUUUCUGUUUUGUCAGAGGGUUUAUUUCUCUCCAGUUUGAGAUGACACCACUACACCAAAUCCUUUGGCUGCAGCCUUUACGUAAGUUCCCCGAGUCCAGAGACCUCUAGGUCCGUCCUUGUUGCCGUCAAAGGCAUUGUUUUCGUCUUCAUUUUAUAGCCGAGUCAGUUACUGCGGCGUAUGUAUCCCAGGUGUGCAAGUGGUCCUGGCCAUUGCUUUGAUUGCCUAUCUUGAGUAUUGUCCAUAUUCCUGCAGCGCAUUUUGAUAAUCCCUAGUCUCUAUCUGGGAGCGUGUGCCGUGCCCACGUGGAGCUGUGAUGUCCCUUUCAGGAGCCUGAGUUUUCUUUCCAGAGUGGCCCGUGCCUGUGUGCAGUGCCAGCAUCGGCAUGGAGGGUUCCCUUUGUCCUCGAUCUGCAGCAUUGACUGUUUGCAGACCUUUGCGCUGGACAUUCUGACUCACGGCAGGCAGUGCAGGGUGUAGUUUUGACGGUCCUGUCUCUGAGUUUGAGGGAUCUGAUGCAGCAUUUGUGCCUUGUUUGUUUCUUGUAAAUAGUUGAGGAAAAUUUCCUUUUGAAUAGGGUUUGCUGAAAGUCCUCCUGUUUAUGGGUUUUGAAGUUUUUACUCACUGACCUGUGUCAGGGUGUUUCUAGGGUAAGUGCUCCUCAUUUAAGGCCCCGCAGUCCUUUGAUGAUGCAGUAUCUUGAAGCCAGUUUGUAUGUUGUAAUAGCAGGAAAUGGCCACAAGGUGGCACUACUCUUCUAUACCCAACCCAGGUCAGCGGGGAGAGCAGCCAGCGCUAGGAAAAGGGGGGCUUUGGGUGGUCCGUGUCCGUGGAACAUGACAGCACAAACCCCAAAGCCUUGUGUCUCAUUCCUCCUCCUACUUCACCUUUGACCCGCAGAUACUCAGAAAGCCCUGGGAAACUGCCAUGCUGCAUUCCUGUCCUUUGGAAGUUAGGGGGCCUGAAGCUAAGGGCUGCAGGUGAGACCCCACCACCAGAGCCUGUGCAGGCCGCAUGAAGGUUUGAAGUGCUUUUCUCCCCGAUAGUGCGGUGUCUCGGGUCCUUUUGGCUGAGACUAGCAUUCAGGGUAGGCUGCCUGGGUCUCAGAGGCCCAGUCGGGAACUGAGGAGGCACUGGGACUCCCAGGGAGGAACGUUUAUGCCAAAACCUCUACAGCAGCCUGAGCUCAGGUGGGUCUGGCCUUGGGACCCAGGCUGUGGGGAAUAUCAUACAGUUUGAGACAUACUUCAGGUGUUGAGGUGUCUGAGGGCAUAAUUGAUCUCCACGUGCAUGAUGCAGAUGGGCAGCAGCCUUCUUCAGUGGUACACAUCUGCACAGCUCUCCUUUUAUGGGCUCUUUCCCCGUGGAGGACUCUCUCCCCGUGGAGGCUCUCACACAGUGCUGGGCAGAGUGCAUGUGCUGUGUAGUGAGGGAGGGUGGAUAUUCAUGUGGCAGUGUCAACUGCUCGUUCCCCAGUGUUCCUUUAUAGCCUGUUCCCCAGCUCUUGCCCCUGGCAGACACACAUUUUGCUUCCAGGACUCUGUUUCUGUCUUCUCAGAUGACACCAGUACAGCAAAUCCUACGUCUGCUGCCUUUACCUAAGUUCCCUGAGUCCAGAGAUCUCUAGGUCCAUCCUUCUUGCAGAGAAAGGUAUUGUUUCCUAUUUCACAGCUGUUUCAGUAGUCUAGUGCAUACAUGUCCCAGCUGGAUUUUUUCGGCAUGCCAGUAACCUAUCAUUUGGUUUGAUUCCCAAUCUUGACUAUUGUCCACAUUGCUGCAGCACACAUUUUGAUGCCCAUGGCGUUUCAAUUUCUGUUUCUGUCCGGGAGUGUGUCCCAGGCUCAUAUGGAGCUGUGAUUUCCCUUUCAGAAGCCUGAGUACUGUUUUCCAGAGUGGCCCGUACCUAUUUGCAUUGCCAGCAUUGGCAUGGAGGUUUCCCUUUUCUCCUGGAUCUGCAUAUUUGAUACUGGGCAUUCUGACUCAUGGCAGGUGGUACAGGGUGUAGUUUUGAUGGUUGGUCCAGUCUUGAGUUUUGAGGGAUGUGGUGUAGCAUUUAAUGUGCCUUGUUUGUUUCUUGUAAAUACUUUGAGGAAGAUUUCCUUUUGAAUAGGGCUUUUAGAAAGUCAUCUUAUUUAUGGGGUUUGAAGUUUUACACUCUGACCUGUGCCAGGGUAUUUCUAGGGUAGUGAAAGUGAAAAUCACUGUCGUGUCCAACUCUUUGCAACAUCCGUGGCAUUCUCCCGGCCGGGAUACUGGAGUGAGUAGCCUUUUCCUUUUCCAAGGGAUCUUGCCAACCCAGGGAUUGAACCCAGGUCUCCCACAGUGCAGGCAGAUUCUUUACCUGAGCUGAGGCACAAGGGAGGCCCAUUUCUAGGGUAAGUGUUCCUUAUAUAAGGCCCCGCAGCCCUUUGAUUAUGCAGGGCCUUGAAGCACCAGUUUGUACGUUGUAAUAGCAGGAAAUGGCCACAAGGCGGCAUUACUUUUCCAUGCCCAACCCUUAGGGAAGUACAGGCUUUGGGUGGCGAGCGUCUGUGGAACAUGCCAGCGAAACCCACAAAGGCUCGUGUCCUGUUCCUCCUCCUGCUUCACGCUUGACCUGCAGAUACUCAGACCCCAAACUGCUAUGCUGAAAUUUCGUCCUCUGGAAGGUAGGGGGCUGCAGCUGAGACCCCAGCACCAGAGCCUGUGCAGGCCGCAUGAAGAGCUUGCAGUGCAUUUCUCCCCAAUAGUGCAGUGUCUCUCGGGUCCUUUUGGCCGAGAUUAGCAUUCAGGGUAGGCCGCCUGGGUCUCAGAUUGAGGCCCAUUCAGGAAAUGAGGCUCUGUAAGUCCAAGGGAGGAACGUUUAUGCCGAAACCUCUACAGCAGCCUGAGCUCAGGUGGGUCUGGCCUUGGGCACCAAGGCUGCUCAAGCAUUGGACACCUGCCAGGGGACCCAGGUGUGGGGAAUAUAAUACUGUUUGAGACAUACUUCGACAUUUCAGGUCUAUUAAAGACAACAGAUUUCCUCCACGUGCAUGAUGUAGAUGGGCAGCACCAUUAUUCAGCUGUACACGUCUGUCUGCAUAGCACUGUUUUUGGAUUCUUUUCCCAUGGAGGCUCUUACACAGUGCUGGGUAGACUGCAUGUUCUAUCUAUUGAUGGAGGGUCGAUUUUUAUGUAGCAGUGUGAACUGCUCGUUCCCGAGUGUUCCUUUAUAGCCUUUCCCCCAGCUUUUGCCCCUGCUACACACACAUUUUGCUUCCAGACUCUAGGUUUGUUUCUGUUUUCUCAGAGGGUUCAUUUCCAUGCAGGCUGAGAUGACAUCCCUACCCCAAAUCCUAUGGCUGCCGUCUUAGUUCCCUGAGUCCCGAGAUCUCUAGGUCCAUCCUUAUUACAUCAAAAUUGUUUUCUUAUUUCAUGGCUAUUUCAGUAGUCUAGUGCAUGCACGUCCCAGGUGGAUUUUUUCAGCAUCCUAAUGGUCCUGGUCAUUUGGUUUGAUUCCCAAUCUCGAGGUUGUUCAUAUUCUUGCAGCAAGCAUUUUGACGCCUGGGCCAUUUCAAUUUCCAGUUGCUUUUUACUUUGUGUCUGGCAGCAUGUACUUUGCUCACAUGGAGCUGUGAUGUCCCUUUCAGAAGCCUGAGUGUUGUUUUCCAUAGUGGCCUGGAGGGUUCCCUUUGUCCUCGAUCUGCAGCAUUGACUGUUUGCAGACCUUUGUACUGGACAUUCUGAUGCACGGCAGAUGGCGCAGGGUGUAGUUUUGACGGUCCUGUCUCUGAGUUUGAGGGAUCUGGUGCAGCAUUUAAUGUGCCUUGUUUCUUGUAAAUACUUUGAGGAAAAUUCCCUUUUGACUGGGGCUUGUUGAAAGUCCCCAUUUAUGGUUUUUGAAGUUUUACUCGCUGACCUCCACCAGGGUGUUUUCAGGGUCAGUCAGUUCAGUCGCUCAGUCCUGUCUGACUCUUUGUGACCCCAUGGACUCCAGCA
Molecule: long non-coding RNA, 5191 nt
Organism: Odocoileus virginianus texanus
Lineage: Eukaryota; Metazoa; Chordata; Mammalia; Artiodactyla; Cervidae
Source: RefSeq, a predicted model, not a curated record